RNAcentral lists this long non-coding RNA (2485 nucleotides) under Sus scrofa (pig). RNAcentral's name for it is "lncRNA (ENSSSCG00050007035.1)". The record is from RNAcentral. Lineage: Eukaryota; Metazoa; Chordata; Mammalia; Artiodactyla; Suidae.
GUUCCUGGGCCAGGAAUGGAACCCAUGCCACAGCAGAGACCCAACCCAUGGCAGAGACAAUACCAGACCCUUAACCUCCAGGCCACCAGGGAACUCCAGAUCCACCCGCGUACCCACCCAACCAUCCACUCAUCUACUCAUCUAUCCAUCCAUCCAUCCACCCAUCUAUCCUCCAACCAUCCAUCCAUCCAUCCAUCCGUUAAUUAACAGGUUCCGAGGCUUGCUAAGGAUCAAACCCUGCAAUGGGCCCUUUGAUGUAUAACAUCUCAGCUGUGGGAGGGAUCAGAGGACUUAAUAUUUAAGUGUGAGAGGCUAAUGACAGCCAUCAGAUCUGACCUGGUGAACCAAGGAUCCGUGUUCCCGUGUUUCAGCACCAGGAGAUCUGGGGAGAGAUUCUCUAGCCUCGCCCUUUAGGCAGCAGCCACUCCUCCAAGGGAGUUCCUGGAACAGGCUUCAGGCUGUGAUGAGAUGGGAGCUGGAGCGCUGGGGGGCCAGGAGUCCAGAGGAGCCACAACAGCAGGGGACUGAGCUGGCUCUGCCGAAGGUUUGGCCUCUACCUGGGCCAGUUGCCCAAGGGGAGGGGUGAGAAUACAGGAUGGCACUCUUUCCUGAAAGCUGGGGCCUGGCAGAGCUCUGCCAUAGCUGGUGCUCAGCAUAGACCUGAGACCAUCACCAGAUAGAGAAAACUCAGGUUUAGAGAGGGGAGGUGACUUGUCCAAGGUCACACAGCCUUGCAGCCAUGGGACUGGGAUAAAGGGUGUGUUUUUCAUCAUCAGGCACAUCUGGUUUGAGGCCUGUUCUGCCUCUCAACCUGCCUGACCUACCUGUUAAUAGGAAAUUACACCUCCCUCUUUUUUGUUCUUUUUUUUUUUUAGAGCCGCACCCGAGGCAUGUGGAAGUUCCCAGGCUAGGGGUCAAUUUGGAGCUACAGCUGCCAGCCUACACCACAGCCACAGCAACACCAGAUCUAAGCCGUGUCUGUGACCUACACCACAGCUCAUGUCAACGCUGGAUCACCAACUCACUGAACGAGGCCAGGGAUCGACUCACAUCCUCAUGGAUGUCAGAUUUGUUUCAACAGGAACUCCUGCACCUCCCUCUUAAGACAGUAGGGCAUGAAAGAUGCCGAGAUGCUGUUAUAAAUUGCUUGGCACAGGACCUGGCAGGGUGCCCACCUGACCUGCUGAGCGGAGAGGUGGGCCCCCGUCUUGGCUGAAAGGCCUCAGACUCAUCCUGUGGCCUCUUCAGCUCUGGGCCUCAUCUCCUCUCUGUCUGCAGUGAGGGCAGGCAGGAGCAGGUCCCCCAGGAGAGAGAGCAGGAAUCCAGCUCUGGCCACUGGGCCUUCUCUUGGCACCAGCAUCUGGGCUGCACAUCUAUCCAGAAGUAGACUGCUUCCUGCCAUGUAUGGCCCCGACUAUUAUGACUGGAUCUGCCACCUGCAUGGGUUGUGCCAGGAUGUCCCAGGAGUGUGGCCCUAGCCACUCUGUCCUUCUGGAGUUUUCCCAGUGGGGCCCUGCCUCGGGGGAACCUAAAGAGGAUGCAGCUUUUUCCCACCCCUGGGGGCCAGACUAACCUCACUGUUACUUUAAUUUUAUUCCCUUCCGCCACAUUUCUUGGCAUGAUAAGGAAUUACAACUCUACAGAAAAAUGUAUUGCAGAAAAGAGGAUGGUUCCCCAGUCCCCAUCCCAGAGACAUGAAUUUUUUUUCUGCUCAUUUUUUUAGGGCUGAACCCCUGGCACAUGGAAGUUCCCAGGCUAGGGGUCAAAUCGGAACUACAGCUGCUGGCCUACACCACAGCCACAACAGUACCACAUCCGGGUUAUAUCUGUGACCUACACCAUAUCUCACAGCAGUGCCAGGUCUAUGACCCACUGAGAGAGGUCAGGGAUUGAACCUACAUCCUCAUGGAUACUAGUUGGGUUUGUUUCCAACGCACCACGAUGGGAACUCCCAGAGAUGUGAAUUUUAAUGUCUGGGUGGUCUUGCUUUUGGAGGAGGGACUAGGGGAUGGGAGGGCAGGGGUGAGACUCCACUUGUAAUAGUUUUGCUUUCUUUCCAAAUCAGAAACUCUCCUGACUCAGGGGCCCCUUAUCCCCCACUGGCCACCUCACAUUCCUCAGACCUCUGACCCUUUAGCCUUGACCUGCUCUCUGGAGCUCAUGCAGGAAAGAGAUCUAUUUUAAAAAGAAAAUCAAAACACAUUUUUAAAAGGUGUUGCUGGAGUUCCCGUCGCGGCGCAGUGGUUAACGAAUCCAACUAGGAACCGUGAGGUUGCGGGUUCGAUCCCUGCCCUUGCUCAGUGGGUUAACGAUCCAGUGUUGCCGUGAGCUGUGGUGUAGGUUGCAGACGCGGCUCGGAUCCUGCGUUGCUGUGGCUCUGGUGUAGGCUGGUGGCUACAGCUCCGCUUCGACCCCUAGCCCGGGAACCUCCAUAUGCCGCCGGAGCGGCCCAAGAAAUAGCAAAAAAGCCAAAAAAAAAAAAAAA